GCUGCUGCUGAAAGGAAGGACUAUGGAGC
This 29-nucleotide non-coding RNA is filed under the name Cricetulus griseus (Chinese hamster). Lineage: Eukaryota; Metazoa; Chordata; Mammalia; Rodentia; Cricetidae. The record is from RNAcentral.